GGCCAUGAGCCCGUUGCAGGCCCGCCACAGGGCCGGCGCCAUGGGUCGGACAGCGCGGCGCGGGGCGCACCUGACAUACCUGGAUAUAAACAAUAUCCAAGGCCCCUAAGGUAAAAGCCAUGCUCCAAGUCCCCUUCUGACUUCUAGUCACUUCCUUGCUGCCAGCAGAGGGCAUGGGAUUCUUCCUGAGGAGCCUGAGUCUCAGCUUUGCCAGGUCCUUGCUGUGUGACCUUGGGCACCUGUGCUCCCUUGACAAAGAGGAAUAAAACCUCUUCAUACUACUCUCCUUUUGAUUCUCUCCUGGAACAUAUGACCACCAUCAAUUAUAGGCAAGAACAUGAACACGGGAGUCCCAAAGACCUGGGUUCAAAUGUCAGGCCCUUCACUCGCUGGCUGUAGGUGUGAGGCCCUGGGCAAGGUCCUUACCUCCCCAAGUGUCUGAGCCUGUUCCCGUAUAACGUUCACUUGACUUGAAUGUCAUGAAAUGUACAUUAGACUUUGUAAGUAAACACCUAGCUGAGUACCUGGAGCAUAGUAAGUGCUUAUCACAUGUUCCAUGGAGUCCCAGACACGAGCAGCUAAUGCUCCUGCUGUCUGCUCAGUUCUGAGA
Molecule: non-coding RNA, 610 nt
Filed under: Pongo abelii (Sumatran orangutan)
Lineage: Eukaryota; Metazoa; Chordata; Mammalia; Primates; Hominidae
Source: RNAcentral